RNAcentral lists this ribosomal RNA (866 nucleotides) under Apiospora marianiae. RNAcentral's name for it is "Apiospora sp. PA-2022a partial large subunit ribosomal RNA". It matches the Rfam family "Eukaryotic large subunit ribosomal RNA", at positions 39 to 934 of the family's 3401-position model. The record is from RNAcentral. Lineage: Eukaryota; Fungi; Ascomycota; Sordariomycetes; Amphisphaeriales; Apiosporaceae.
CAUAUCAAUAAGCGGAGGAAAAGAAACCAACAGGGAUUCCCCUAGUAACGGCGAGUGAAGCGGGAACAGCUCAAAUUUGAAAUCUGGCCCUUGGGUCCGAGUUGUAAUUUGCAGAGGAUGCUUUUGGUGCGGUGCCUUCCGAGUUCCCUGGAACGGGACGCCUUAGAGGGUGAGAGCCCCGUACGGUUGGCCACCAAGCCUGUGUAAAGCUCCUUCGACGAGUCGAGUAGUUUGGGAAUGCUGCUCAAAAUGGGAGGUAUAUUUCUUCUAAAGCUAAAUACUGGCCAGAGACCGAUAGCGCACAAGUAGAGUGAUCGAAAGAUGAAAAGCACUUUGAAAAGAGGGUUAAAUAGCACGUGAAAUUGUUGAAAGGGAAGGGUUUAUGACCAGACUUUUUCUAGGGGGAUCAUCCGGUGUUCUCACCGGUGCACUUCCCCUAGUUGAGGCCAGCAUCGGUUUCUGUCGGGGGAUAAAAGCUUCGGGAAUGUGGCUCCUUCGGGAGUGUUAUAGCCUGUUGCAUAAUACCUUGACGGGGACCGAGGUUCGCGCAUUGCAAGGAUGCUGGCGUAAUGGUUAUUAACCACCCGUCUUGAAACACGGACCAAGGAGUCGAACAUUUGUGCGAGUGUUUGGGUGUUAAACCCUCACGCGUAAUGAAAGUGAACGGAGGUGAGAGCCCUUCGGGGUGCAUCAUCGACCGAUCCUGAUGUCUUCGGAUGGAUUUGAGUAAGAGCAUAACUGUUCGGACCCGAAAGAUGGUGAACUAUGCGUGGAUAGGGUGAAGCCAGAGGAAACUCUGGUGGAGGCUCGCAGCGGUUCUGACGUGCAAAUCGAUCGUCAAAUCUGCGCAUGGGGCGAAAGACUAA